UAGAAAAACUGCGUGUCUGCUCCAAACCCACCGCUAGCCGUAGCCGCGCUUGGGUCUAGUCAGCACGCCACACAGGCACGCCGAGCUACCGUGUGUAGCUCGCCCCGCCGUGACAGGAUACAAACAUGGAAGCAAGAUUGAAUUUAGUUUGAAUGACGACUUGUACGCGCUGACUCCACAGACAAGACUCCGCCCCAGCAUCACAGGUUCCGAAUGAAGCUGAAGGGAAGCCAUUUCAGAACAUUUAGCUCUCCAUUUUUCCGAGUUGUUUGCCACGCCUGGAUAUGCUUGCAAAGGUAGAAUAUGGGGGAGUGCAGAAGUAUGUCAAAGUUCCAGAAAGUGAUGAAUGCUUUCAUUUCCACCAGUUUCUUAAAGAUGUUAUGGACAAGUUCAGCUUGCAGCCUCAACUCUUCACAGAAGGUGUACUCAUCCUCACUGAUACCUCUGACACUGAAGUUGACUCAGACAUUUUUGAUGAGCUGGUAAAGUCUGGAGUUCGAGCUUUCAAAGUUGGAUAUAGAAUGCAGACAGCAACAGACAUUGAGAUCAGUGUGGUUGAUGAUGAAUCAGAGUCAUCGGUACAGCCAAUCCCUCUUGCCCUCCUGACAUCGCCAGUGUCAUUGUCAGACCAUCCAUCGUCCCCAGCUUCUACCAGUUCAUCAGAUUCAACUAUGAUCCUCAAAAGUACAAAGAACAGGAAGAAGGGCCUACAAGAGCUUGAUCGCGAUGAAGCGAAGCAGGUCAAAAGCAAAGCCUAAAGCAAUUUCCAGUGCUUAACAGCAUUUUACAAACACUAACUUUUUUGUAUAAUUUGUUUCAGUUUAAUCAGUAUGACUUUUUUUUUUAAACAGAAGGUGUGUAGUGUCUUGAGCUCAAACCCAAAGGGUGAAGAAAUUUUCAAUGAAUACGACAAAACUAAAACAUUGUCAGAUCCAACUCGUCGACAAAUGGUCAACAUACUGGUUGCAGAUAUGAUAGAAUCACACGGGUAAGUAUUCUUUGAUGAUCAUAAAAACAAUUGUCGAGUGAGCAGAAGAGCAAUACACUUUGUUUUGUUUUUGAAAGGAGGAUUCCGCCCAUAAGUGUUCGGACUAACUAUGCACUGGGGAUUGCAACGCUUUUUCCAUAUCUCCAAGAUCCUUACUCAAAAAAUGGCUAUGAACAUUACUAUGAUCCGGAGGCCAAUACUGGCUAUCUUGCUUGGAGACUCAAGACUGUCCAACGCAAUACCUAUGAUGGUGCUAGUGGGUGUCCCAGGCCAAACUUCCAGGACAGUCCAACAACCCGAAGAGAAUCUUUGUUUGUUAGUGGACAGCUUUUUGGUGAAGAGUGCAGAGAGUUAUUAGACACUCAACAGAUAGGUCUGUGGUUAAAGAGAAGAUGAAAGCUACUUUUGAAUAUAGACAGAAGCUGGUACAUGACCCAGAUGCAACAUCAUCAAUCUUGGAUGUCUUCCCUCAUUUCCUUGAUACACCGGGGUUGAUUGAUCAGGAUUUUGCAAUGAUGCUUGGAGAUGAGGCCUCUGGAAGAUUUCUUACAAAGUGGUCUUCGUAUUUCAAGCAAAAAAUCAUCGCCGAAAGCCAAAGUCUUCCAUCAAGUCCUUGUGUUGAGGAGUUACGAGCAUCUUUUGAUACGGAGGCUUCAAAUGACUGGGGCUGGGAUAGUGACAUGGCAGCCCUUCUGUUGUUGCUGCAUCUCCUGCCCCCAACAUCAAAAGGCCACACAAAAACAGCAAAAAUUAGCUCUGCACAGGCAGCCAAUCAUCUUGUGAGAUUCGUCAAGAAAGGAGUCAGCCUCACUACUUUCCUGGAGAAAGCUAACACCAGGCAGCCCUUCCUUCUCUGCAUUGGUGAGCAAAAGAAGAACAUUCAGAGGUUCUUCAUCAUUGUGGACCAGAAAGCUAUCCCCUGUGAUGCUCCAACUUCAGCAGCUGCUUUUGAUGGGCUUUUCAAAGCACACUUUGUCUUCAGCCUCUCAUAUGAUGAAGCUCUUUCCAGUUUCUACACCUUCAUUCAAACCACAAUCUACAACAUUGAUGUUGGAAACACAAAAGAAAGCCCUCGAGUCAAGGAACUGAGAGCACGUCUGCUGCGAGACCGUUAAAUGCCCGCAAGGUCCACACGCUUUUAGGAGGAUUUAAAAAAAAAACUGUUUGACAAUGUUCAAAUGCUUUGUUUGUAAAAUGCACCAAAAAAAUUGUUCAGCUCUAUGUCAACAUUUAAAAUUUCAUCAUGGUUUAUAUCCAAACAAAAAUCUGCGUUUAAAAUGUGAAGAGCAGGGAUGUCUUUCAUCUUUUUGUACUUAAAUGGCUUUAGAAAACAUCUUCAUAAUGUACAUAGUCAUUAUCACGAUAAACAUGUAGGGACGGAACAGGAAGUUGCCCAACAAACACAUUCUCUAGGAGACUCUUUUUGUGAUCAACCAUCUACUUCUGCAUCUAUAUCACAGGUUCCCACUGUUAUUUCACAGGACUCGCUUGUUGGAAUGUGUGGAUCUGUUGUCGCUCACUUACAAGCUUCUGGUCUUACUGAAAGUGCUGUUCAAACAAUAAUUUGUUCUGUUGAGGAAGUUGUCAGGGAUGUUCAGAGUCAAGCAAGAGAAGUAGUACUCCAAACAUUUUCCCCUGAUAGUAAGGAAUCAGACAUUUACAAAAGAGUUGAGCACAAUUUAAACCAAUUGGAUAACCCCUUUUCAAAAUUUAACACUGAGAAAAAAAGACAGAAAUAUUAUGAUGAAAAAUGGGAAAUAGUUGAGCCUAAAGAAUUUGUACUUGGUGUAAGAUUGGAUACACGUAGACAUAGAACUACAGGGGUUUAUAGCGAAACACCUGUCAGAGACAAAUACAUGUAUGUGCCCAUUUUAGGUACGAUACAUUCAAUUUUCAAGAAUAAAGACAUUAGAGAAUGCUUCUUGCAUGAGAAACAAACACAAGCUGGGUUAUACAAAGACAUUAAUGAUGGAUUAUAUUUCCAAAACCAUCCUCUGUUUUCACAACAGAAAUAUGCUCUACAGAUUUUACUGUAUUAUGAUGAUUUUGAAACUGCUAACCCAUUAGGUUCGAAGAAAGGGAUCCACAAACUGGGCUGUAUUUAUUUCACUUUAAAAAAUCUCCCACCAAAGGUUAACUCUGUGCUGAUGAAUGUACAUCUAGCUGCUCUUUUCUACACAGAAGACUUAAAGAAAUAUGGUUUUGAAGAAAUACUAAAGCCUUUGAUUGAUGACUUGAAAAUUUUAGAAAUUAAAGGAAUCCUGCUUCCCUUUACUGAAGAGCCAGUGUUUGGUUCUGUUGUUCAAGUUACAGGAGACAAUCUUGCUUUAAAUGGCUUACUAGGUUUUGUUGAAUCGUUUAGUGCAACAAACUGGUGCAGGUUUUGUUUAGUAAACAAGGAAGAAAUUCAGUCUGUGUUUAAUGAAGACAGUUCAGACAUUGUUCUGCGCUCCAGAGAACUUCAUAUUGAACACUGUAAUGCAUUAAGUGAAGACCCUGCUCUCACUUCCGUUUACGGAGUUAAAAGAUCUUGUGUGCUCAAUUCAUUGGAAUAUUUUCACAGCACUGACAAUUAUGCAGUUGAUAUAAUGCACGAUUUAUUGGAAGGAGUUGUGCAGUAUGAGCUCAAACUUUUUUUUCAAUACAUGAUCAAAAAUGGCUACAUCUCCAGUAGCACAUUACUUGACAGGAUACAGACGUUUAAUUAUGGUUUUGUAGAGCGUAAAAAUAAACCAAGUGGGUUAAAAAUAGAUGAUAACAGCAAACACUUAGGUUUAAAUGCCAUUCAGUCAUUAUGUAUCCUACGCAAUACUCCACUAAUUUUUGGAGACAUAGUUGAGCGGGACAAUAGCCACUGGAAUUUUGUUCUCCUGUUGUUGCAAAUUGUUGAUAUUGUGUUGUCCCCAGUCCUUACUGAUGGCAUGAUAUGUUACUUGAAACAUCUGAUCUGUGAUCACCAUAACAUGUUUAAAAACUUAUUCCCUGGUAGAAAAUUAAUUCCUAAACACCACCUAAUGAUUCACUAUCCAAGGUGUAUUAAGAAAAUUGGCCCUCUUAUCCACAUAUGGUGUAUGCGUUUCGAAGCAAAACACAUUUUUUUUUUAAAAGAGCUGUCAAAAAUUUUAAAAACCUUACAAAAUCUCUAGUAAAGCAACAUCAGCGUCAAUUGGCCUUUUACUAUGAAAACUAUUGUUUUAAAAGAUUUCGGUUCGGUCCUUUAAAAUUAAAAAGAGUUGAUAGCAUGGAAGGUGGACAUUUGUUGUGCGAGUCAUUAAAUGUAGAUUCAUGUGCAAAUGUUUCAACUACAAAUUGGGUUAGAAAUUAUGGCACUGAAUACCAGGUUGGUUUGUUUUUAUGCACUGGAAUGUCCAGUGAUCUACCAGUCUUUAAGAAAAUUUGCUAUAUCAUAAUACAUGAACAACAUGCAGUCAUAAUAGGCUGUAGUGUCAACACCUUGUACUUUGAUGAACACUUUCAUGCAUACUGUAUUGAAGAAAAAAGUAAUGAGCAUGCUGUUAUUUCAAUUGACCAGCUCACCUAUGUUAGACCCUUUGACAAGCAAUAUUCUAAUGAAAAUGAGAACAUAUACAUUAUUCCAUAUUGUUACAUGUUUUAGAAAAUUUUUUGAAGUUGUGGUGCAUAUAAAAAUAAAUCUUUUUCAGAAGAACAUUGGCUCUUUUUAAUAUUUUUUUCCCCAAGGAAUUUCUAAAAGAUCAGAACAGUAAAAUUUACACUUUUUAGAAUUAAUUAGACGAUAACUCUUUUGUAGUCAAAAUAAAAUACUCUGUAACAGUUAAUAUAUAAACUCUUAACACCUAGUUAGUGUUAAUGAGUGUUAAAUUUUCAACUCCA
Molecule: long non-coding RNA, 4840 nt
Organism: Oreochromis aureus
Lineage: Eukaryota; Metazoa; Chordata; Actinopteri; Cichliformes; Cichlidae
Source: Ensembl